GUUUCUAACGCAUUUUUGGGUGGAUUUCAACAUCGGAACAUCAACUAUAAGUUUCUUUGUAAAUGACCCGCAGAACACCCUGUGGGAGCUGAUUCACCUGUCCAAAGAUGCCAUCAGCACAUAUAAUCUACAAGACCGGGAUGAAGAGAAGAUAUUGACUGUUAACAUGAUGAACCCAAUAAGUAACGGAAAGAUCACUGGCCAAACGGUCGAAAUCAUCUUUAGCUCUGAGCACAACAUUCAGACUGCCUUGACAAGAGUGUUUGAAGAGAAGCUACAGCCAGCCCCUGGGGCUGCGAAAUCAGAAGAGGACUUGGGCAUGCUUGAAGGCACACA
Molecule: long non-coding RNA, 336 nt
Organism: Triplophysa rosa
Lineage: Eukaryota; Metazoa; Chordata; Actinopteri; Cypriniformes; Nemacheilidae
Exons: 4
Source: RefSeq, a predicted model, not a curated record